UGGGGAAUAUUGCACAAUGGGCGCAAGCCUGAUGCAGCCAUGCCGCGUGUGUGAAGAAGGCCUUCGGGUUGUAAAGCACUUUCAGCGAGGAGGAAGGUGGUGAGCUUAAUACGUUCAUCAAUUGACGUUACUCGCAGAAGAAGCACCGGCUAACUCCGUGCCAGCAGCCGCGGUAAUACGGAGGGUGCAAGCGUUAAUCGGAAUUACUGGGCGUAAAGCGCACGCAGGCGGUUUGUUAAGUCAGAUGUGAAAUCCCCGGGCUCAACCUGGGAACUGCAUUUGAAACUGGCAAGCUAGAGUCUCGUAGAGGGGGGUAGAAUUCCAGGUGUAGCGGUGAAAUGCGUAGAUAUCUGGAGGAAUACCGGUGGCGAAGGCGGCCCCCUGGACGAAGACUGACGCUCAGGUGCUAAAGCGUGGGGAGCAAACA
Molecule: ribosomal RNA, 427 nt
Filed under: uncultured bacterium
Lineage: Bacteria
Description: bacterial SSU rRNA
Rfam family: Bacterial small subunit ribosomal RNA
Source: RNAcentral